Molecule: ribosomal RNA, 438 nt
Filed under: uncultured Desulfobulbus sp.
Lineage: Bacteria; Pseudomonadati; Thermodesulfobacteriota; Desulfobulbia; Desulfobulbales; Desulfobulbaceae
Description: bacterial SSU rRNA
Rfam family: Bacterial small subunit ribosomal RNA
Source: RNAcentral
UUCGAUGCAACGCGAAGAACCUACCUGGUCUUGACAUCCCGAGGACCCUUAGGAAACUAGGGGGUGGCUUCCAUCUGGAAGAAUCUGGAGACAGGUGCUGCAUGGCUGUCGUCAGCUCGUGUCGUGAGAUGUUGGGUUAAGUCCCGCAACGAGCGCAACCCUUGCCUUUAGUCGCCAGCAGUUCGGCUGGGCACUCUAAAGGGACUGCCGGUGUUAAACCGGAGGAAGGUGGGGAUGACGUCAAGUCCUCAUGGCCUUUAUGACCAGGGCUACACACGUACUACAAUGGCCGAUACAAAGGGCAGCGACACUGCGAGGUGAAGCCAAUCCCGUAAAAUCGGUCUCAGUCCGGAUUGGAGUCUGCAACUCGACUCCAUGAAGUUGGAAUCGCUAGUAAUCGUGGAUCAGCAUGCCACGGUGAAUACGUUCCCGGGCCUU